Molecule: ribosomal RNA, 438 nt
Filed under: Achromobacter sp. MP1
Lineage: Bacteria; Pseudomonadati; Pseudomonadota; Betaproteobacteria; Burkholderiales; Alcaligenaceae
Description: bacterial SSU rRNA
Rfam family: Bacterial small subunit ribosomal RNA
Source: RNAcentral
AUUCGAUUACCGCGAAGAACCUUACCUACCCUUGACAUGUCUGGAAUUCUGAAGAGAUUCGGAAGUGCUCGCAAGAGAACUGGAACACAGGUGCUGCAUGGCUGUCGUCAGCUCGUGUCGUGAGAUGUUGGGUUAAGUCCCGCAACGAGCGCAACCCUUGUCAUUAGUUACUACGAAAGGGCACUCUAAUGAGACUGCCGGUGACAAACCGGAGGAAGGUGGGGAUGACGUCAAGUCCUCAUGGCCCUUAUGGGUAGGGCUUCACACGUCAUACAAUGGUCGGGACAGAGGGUCGCCAACCCGCGAGGGGGAGCCAAUCCCAGAAACCCGAUCGUAGUCCGGAUCGCAGUCUGCAACUCGACUGCGUGAAGUCGGAAUCGCUAGUAAUCGCGGAUCAGCAUGUCGCGGUGAAUACGUUCCCGGGCCUUGUACACACCG